This 2467-nucleotide ribosomal RNA is filed under the name human oral metagenome. RNAcentral's name for it is "bacterial LSU rRNA". It matches the Rfam family "Bacterial large subunit ribosomal RNA", at positions 14 to 2303 of the family's 2925-position model. The record is from RNAcentral.
AGGGCACAUAAUGGAUGCCUAGACGUAUAUUACCGAUGAAGGACGUGGAAGACUGCGAUAAGCUUCGGGUAGCUGUCAACAAGCUUUGAUCCGGAGAUUUCCGAAUGGGGAAACCCAACGCGAGUCAUGUCGUGUUACCCUUGUCUGAAUACAUAGGACAUGAGGCGGGAACCAUCUGAACUGAAACAUCUUAGUAGGAUGAGGAAAAGAAAGUAAAUAACGAUUACGAAAGUAGUGGCGAGCGAAAUCGUAAGAGCCCAAACCUUAUAGAUUUUUAUUUAUAUAAAUAAGCUGAUAGGCGAAUAUCUAUGAGGGGUUGUGAUAUCACAUAUGACCAAGUCAGAGCAUUUGAUUAGUUCAAAUAAUCUGAUUUGCGAUAAUUGUCUAUCAACAAUUAGUAAGGUAAGAAAAUUGCGUGGUUAGCAGAAUAGUUUGAAUGACUAGCCAAAGAACGUGAAAGCCGUGUACGUUAAAACGACGCUGACCUUAUAUAUGUUUUAUCGAGUAGGGCGGGGCACGAGAAACCCUGUCUGAAUCUGGCUGGACCACCAGCUAAGGCUAAAUAUAAUAUACGAUCGAUAGUGAACUAGUACAGCGAUGGAAAGGUGAAAAGAACCCCGGGAGGGGAGUGAAAUAGAUCCUGAAAUUAUGUGCCUACAAGGAGUCGGAGCAGAUUUAUUCUGUGACGGCGUGCUUUUUGUAGAACGAUCCAGCGAGUUAAUUUCGUGCGCAAGGUUAAGUUAGUUAACGGAGCCACAGUGAAAGCGAGCCUGAAUAGGGCGUUUAGUGUACGGAAUUAGACCCGAAACCGGGUGACCUAACCAUGAGCAGGUUGAAGCUACUGUAACAGGUAGUGAAGGACCGAACCAGGAUACGCAGCAAAGUGUUUGGAUGACUUGUGGUUAGCGGUGAAAUGCCAAUCGAACUCGGAGAUAGCUGGUUCUCCUCGAAAUAGCUUUAGGGCUAGCGUCAUGUUAGUAAUGUAUGGGGGUAGAGCUCUGUAAAGGAUUGGGGCGGGCGACUGUACCCACCCUUAACAAACUACGAAUACCAUAUAUGUAAUCAUGGCAGUUAGAACAUCGGUGCUAAGAUCGGUGCUCAAAAGGGAAACAGCCCAGACCAUCAUCUAAGGUCCCUAAAUAUACAUUAAGUGGGAAACAAGGUGAAAUUUCUUAAACAGCGAGGAUGUUGGCUUAGAAGCAGCCAUUCAUUUAAAGAGUGCGUAACAGCUCACUCGUCAAGAGAUUUUGCGUGGAAAAUGUAACGGGGCUAAAUGUAUUACCGAAGAUAUGGAUUAUUACAUUAGUAAUAGUGGUAGAGGAGCGUUCCUAUCAGCAGUGAAGCAGUAUUGAAAAGUAUUGUGGAGCGGUAGGAAGUGAGAAUGCUGGAAUGAGUAACCAUAAGAUAGGUGAGAAUCCUGUCGGCCGUAAGAGCAAGGUUUCCUGAGCUAUGGUAAUCAUCUCAGGGUUAGUCGGGCCUAAGCCGAGGCGCAGAGCGUAGGCGAUGGACAUCAGGUUAAUAUUCCUGAACCGGUUAAGUUUUGUACACUGUUCACGGGGAAGUAAUCGAAGCGGAUUCAUGGUUUAUCCGUCCAACCGAGCGGGAACGCAAAGGGAGUGAAAGUGAUUCUUCGGAGUCGCGAUUUUGAUGAAAGCCCUGGCUAGAAAAGCAGGUGUACGCGUGGACUUAGCCGCCCGUACCGCAAACCAACACAGGUGCUCGAGUCGAGUAGACUCAGGCUUACGAGCGAACCUUCGCUAAGGAACUCGGCAAUACAGCGACCGUAACUUCGGGAUAAGGUCUGCCCCCACUUCGGUGGAUAUCAGCCGCGUUCACUCAGUGAAUAAUAGGUUAAAGAGUACAUUUUUAAUCACAAAACGAAUUUUCUGAGACACGAGCAAACAAAUUGCUCUUUGAACGCGAACCUCUUUUAUCUAACGAUGUGGGGGCCGCAGCAAAAGAGCCCACGGAACUGUUUAUCAAAAACACAGGUCUCUGCUAACACGAAAGUGGAUGUAUAGGGGCUGACUCCUGCCCGGUGCCGGAAGGUUAAGGGGAGUGCUUCACGGUGCAAACUGAAGCCCCGGUGAACGGCGGCGGUAACUAUAACCGUCCUAAGGUAGCGAAAUUCCUUGUCAGGUAAGUUCUGACCCGCACGAAUGGAGUAAUCAUGUGGGCACUGUCUCAGCGAAGGACUCGGUGAAAGUGCAUUGGCGGUAAAGAUGCCGUCUGUCCGUACCAGGACGAAAAGACCCCAUGGAGCUUUACUACAGCUUUACAUUGAAUACGGUUUCAACAUGUGUAGCAUAGGUGGGAGAUAUUGAAGCAGAUACGCCAGUAUUUGUGGAGUCACCAAGUGAAAUACCACCCUUGUUGUGAUUGUGUUCUCACGCUGACCGUUAUCCGGUUAGCGGACCGUGUAUGGUGGGUAGUUUAACUGGGGCGGUUGCCUCCUAAAGAGUAGCGG